CUUUUUUUUUUUUUUUUUUGUGUCGGAUAUAUCUCUUGAGGUAAUUUGCAGCAGCAUCACUAAUGGAAUCACUUUGGAUGAUGAUUCAAGUAUUUGGAUGAAAAUGCUGUGAUUAUUGACGUGAUUUGCUCAAUCAUCUUAGGACUUUUUUCCAGUGCCUCACUACUGGCUUUUUAUUUCUUGCAUGAACUCAAUUUUGGGGCUGAAGAUCCCAGUAGGCAGUAGCAUGCCUCAAGUUUUUUGCAAGGUAUCUCCUAGCAUCAAGGAAUUGUUAAAUCUUUUCUUCAAUAACCUUUUUUUUUUUUUCUUUUCCAUAAUUUUGUUAUAGUAGUUACUUCACCUUCCUUUGUUCAUUUUAAUUCAAUUUUGUGGCUGGCUGGUCGCCAUCAGGGGGAAGGGGAUUGACACAGAUCCAAUUUCCAAACACCAAAAAAAAAAAAAAAAGGGGCGAUCCGGUUUCAAGAUUGAGGAGUGGUUGGCCCAGUCGCGUAAAUUGUAUGAUGGCAGAUGCAAGAAGAAGAGGUGGAGGGAGGGCUUUAAAUUACAGAAAAGUGAAGCAAUUGCUUAUCAAUAGUUAUACAAUGAUUGCAGAAGGAAAGGAAGACCCAAAAAAAAAAAAAAAAAAAAUCAAUUUUAGUAAGUUACGCUUGUCUUCAGGGUUGUUGGAGUUGGAGUUGGGCACAGUUUUAAAUAAUGCUGCUUGCUAAUUAACUAGUAAUCCUGAUGAAGUAUGUAAUGGCCAUAUAUAUGUAUGUAUGUAUAGUAUUUUACCUAUCAAGUAUUAGUUGAUGAAGUCAUGAAAGAUGCCAAUUAUCCAAAAUGGUUGACUAUUGCAUGCAGUACAGCUAGCCAGGCCGGUGAAAAUGAAGUACCACCAACAUUGGCUGUCAAGCAAUAUUUGGUGAACGGUAUAAAAGAUGUUUAUACAACAAGAUUAGAAAGAAAAAAGAAAGUAAUUAACAGUCAAAUUUGAGAAUCGAAUAGCACAGCCCUUUUUUUUUUUUUUUUACUUUUAGAUUAUGAAUUUUGAGGUCAGAUUUGUGUUAUAAAGCGGUGGGUGGAUUCGGUCAAGAACAACAGUCAAGAACCAUUGCAAAAAUUCAUACGCUGUUUUGAUUUUGGUAAGCAAUCAAGCAAGGUUGGUUGCUGAUUUGCAUUCAUUGUUCCAUCCUCUCUUCUUAAUUCUGAGCCUUUCUCUCAUCAAACACAUACACUAACUGGUUGCAAGAAACGGUGUGCAAUUUUGUGAUCAACUUGUACGUCUUCAAAGUCCAAAGCCGUCACCAAACCAAUCAUAUAUAUAUAUUAUAUGCAGAUAAUAACAUUCCCAAGUGGAGCAUGCUCAGACAUGUACAGAGUCAUACUUUCUGGCCAACACCUAAUUAAGAGCUUUCCAAAUAUGGACCCCUAAUAUGAGGGGAACAGACAAGGGACGCCGUGUUUCACUACGGAAGCUUUUAAGUUCCCCGUUACUACAACUAGCUACUUCCACAAUUUGGAACAUGCAAACAAAACCCUCUUGGGAGUUCGAGUACAAAGCAUGAUUAGUUGCGCUCGAUCUACUUUCUUUAUUUCGUAAGGUUGGCAUUCCUCUUUUUUUCGCAGUACCACUGACUUUUCUUGCUUUCAAUGGGAACCACGUACCUGGACAUUCUUCACAUUCUUUCCUCAAUGCUAAGCAAUAUAUGUAAUACCUGCGCCUCGCGCCUUGUGAUAUUUUUGGUGUCAUUCACUAGACAAAGCAUCCUGUGAUGGCGAUCUAACGACAAGUCGCCCAACAAAGAAUAAAUUCCAUUCAACUUCUUACACUAAAGUUUCUUUACAUUUCUGUACUCCUUUUCCAAAUUCCAAUUGUCUUUCGCUAUCAUCUUGCUGAUUCCUUUUUUUUUUUUUUUUUUAAAAAAAUUAAAGGCCUUUUUUUUUCGUGUGUUAGGUACUAGUGAUACUGCCCACAGCUCUCACAAUAAAACAUGAACUAAAACAAAGUGAUCGAAGUUCGAAUUUGAAGUAAAUUAACGGAUGCCACCGGUGCGAUCUUUGUCUUAUUAAUCACCGCCUCAAGGAAGGAUGGACGUACAAUUCUUGGUUAGAUUUUCGCUUUAAUUUUAGUGUCUACUUUGCUUUCAUCUGGGUUUGCCGCCGGGAAUGUUGCAUCGUGGUGGAUGGAAAAUUAUGAGAUAUACGCUCAACAAUUAAUCCAUAUAUGAUCGAUCAUCCAACACAUAAGUGGCGCGCAUUAAAUAUCUGUCGAAGACAAAUUAAACUAACUUGAAAGGUUCAAAAGCUGCGGCUGGUGGGAAGGUAAAGUAACAGUUGUGGGGACGAGAACAGCUUUUGAAAUAGAAUUUGUUGCAGUUUAGGCAGCAAACACGGCUUGAAUUCCUUAAAACAAGACUUAUUCUACUGCUGAUGACGUUGACUUGUCCACUCCAAUGCUAUGAUUUAGUCUUCUUCAUUGACAUUAAUCCCCACAACAAUAACAUCGUCGGUAGUCUCCAACAAAGACUGCAUGUCGUUCAAUCAUACCACCAAAAAUCCCUUGAUCAAACCCUGAAAAUCCAUUCGAACUCGGGCUAGCUACUAGAUAUUGCUUCUUCUACUCUCCCUGAUAUAAAAUGCGCUUAAUAAAUUAAUUAUGCUGUUCUCACCGAAAUUCUUUAGCAAAUUUAGCUUUGCUGCAUGGAAUCUAACGAGAUUACACUGAAUGUGCCCUUACCGAACAGCUAGCAUCAUGAUAGUUUGAUGAUGGUCGGAUUUUUGUGUAGUUGAACCUCGAGUUUUCCCUCCCUCAAUGAGUUUUUCACUUUCUUGUCCUAAAUCUUGACGUGGAAUUAAAUAGGCAAGGGUAUAGGGUUUUUUGUUUUUGUUUUUGUUUUUUUUUUGGCCCCCUCCAACGCCAUCUGAUUAAGAAAGGAAAAAUGACAAAGUGCAGCAGUAGUCUGUAGCCAUGUAAAACAGAUACUAGCUAUAUGUUAUGUGGCCACUAAUAUCAAACCAUUUUGAAAGCCAGUGAAUAGUAGAUAUAACAUAAGUGAAAUGACAAACUGGAGCGACAUGCAUUUCGACAUAUGAGCUUUUCUUAACAAUAAAUGUUCCCCUCAAAGCUGUAAUAGAACUGUUAUCCAUCACCGUUAGAGCAACUGGCCGGUGUUCUUCCUCUUUUCUUUUAGCCUGUUGUUUCUUAAAUGGAGUACAAAUCGAACGCAUACGCUAAUAUGUUUAAACAGCAUUAUGAGUCCAUAUCACAAGAUAUAUAGAUCGUCAGUUAACUUCUGAGUAGCUUCCAAGAAGGCAUGACAAAGGGUUGAGGUAAUAAAAUAAAAACAAUUUUAACUCUUACGAUUAGGGGUGUGCAAAAUCGAAAAAUUCCGAUUUACCGACCGAAUUCGAAUUGAAUUCGGAAUUUUCGAAAUCGGUAAAUCGGAAAUCGGAAUCGAAUUCGGAUUUUCCGAAUUCAUAUAUUUCGAAUUUGGUUCGAAUUCGGUAAUGGAGUUUUUCAAAUCGGAAUUCGAAUUCCGAUUUCGAUUUCAAAUUCUUUUUUAAUAUAUAAAUAUAUUUUUUAUACAUGUAAUAUAAAAUUUAUACUAUAUAAUAUUUUAUAAAAUUUAUAAAAUAUAAUAUAAUAUAAUAUAAAAUUUAUAAAAUUUAUAUAUUAUUAUAUAUUAUUAUAAAUUUUAUAUUAUAUAAUAAUAUAUAAAUUUUUCCGAAUUCGGUGAAAUCGGUGAAAUCGGAAUUUACCGAAUUCCGAAUUGAAUUCGGUACGAAUUCGAAUUCGGAAUUGGUGAAUUCGAAAUCAAAUUCGGUCGAAUUACCAGGUACCAAAAUUUCGAAAAAUUCCGAAUUCAAACUUCCGAAUUACCGAAUUCGAAUUCGAUGCACACCCCUAUUUACGAUUGAGCAUCUUUUCAUUUGAUAUCCCGGAUUUCACACUUCAUGAAAUUGCUACCUGUUACCGAAAUAAGACAAUCAGAAGGAUAAUACUAGCUAGGGAUGUAAUUGAGUCGAGCCCGAGUCAAGUUUUUGACUGAAUUGCUCGUGAGCAGUUUGAUUACAGCACUAGAUAAAACUAUUACUCCCUCCGUCCCACUUUGUUAGUCUUGUUUUCCUUUUUCGUCCGUCCCAAAUUGUAGUCCACUUUUCCAUUAAGAAAUGUAGUAAUCUUUCAAAUUGUCUAAAAUACCCUUAUUAAAUAUAUUGUUAUUAAUACAUUGUUAUUAAAUACUAACCCACUACAUUGAAUACAUUGAGUUUUUCCAAUACAUUGAAUACAUUGACUACAUUGAUUAGCAUAAGGGUAUUUUAGGAAAUUAUUAAUCUAAAUUUAUGUUUCCAACCAAAUUAAUUACACUUUCUUAAUCUGUGUGAAAAAAAAACCAAGACUAACAAAACGGGACGGAGGGAGUACAAGAUUUAUGUACAUGCUGCUACCAGAACUCAAAUUAGACAGAUUGAUGUACAAUAGUAUGUAUCAAGAGAAGGAAUACAAUUUAGCCAAAUUGCUUGUGCUGUUCCGAGCUGCAAAAAGAUUAUGCACUACGUACUAUAUUAUAUUUCCGAAGUACUUUAGUCAUAAAUUUUUGCUUGUGCUUUAGUUUCAAACAAAGUUUAAAGACCAAAUUUGGGGGAUGGGAUAGACUCAACAAAUCCGACGGUAUUGAGGGGAUAUUAAACCAUCAUCAUUUCAGAUUCCCGGGCUUUUGGUCCUGAGAUGGGAUUUAUAAAUUGGGGAUUUAUAAAUUAUAAUCCGGAGAGUAAAUGAUUGGUGUGUAUUAAAUUUAUAUGAAAUGAUGGACAAGUACAACGUUUGGUUUUAGUGCUCCCACAGACAGAAAAACAACGCAAGGAAAAGUGAAAAAGAGAGUCUACCAAUUAAACAAAACAGGACGACAACUCACUCUUUCAUUUAUUUUGUUCCAAAACUUGCACACAAUUGGACAAGAGCAAGCAGCUGCUAGAUCGUAUGGUUAGGACCCCCCCCCCCCCCUCAUCCAUCCAUCCAUCCAUCCAUCAAUGACAAAAUCUUACUAAUAAAUUUCCACUUAAAUCACUCCCAACCCCAACACAACUCCCCCCACUGUGCAAUCCAGCAGAUGGGCUCUAGCAACUACCGGCCUACUUCCUUCGUUCAUUCAUAGUAUUUUAUUCUUUGGCUGCCCAAAUUAACAUAUGAGAAAAGUUUUAUAUAUUGUAUAAAUAAAUUUGUAGAUAGAUGGUCAAUUAGUCAUGGCGUUGGAAUUGGCUGGAACCCAAAAUAAUGGAAACGCCUCUAGGAGCAAGUUCUGUGGUCAUUUAUGCAUGCCCUUUUUCUUGUUCUAUAUUUUUUUUUUCUUCCAAAAAAUGGAGCUGCAUUUGCAUAAUUCUUUUUUUCCCUUUUUAGGUCUCUUAAAAUGGAAUGGCAUCCCAUGGAAGCAGUCUAGAAAUCUGACUAGUCAAGAGAGGAGGGCAUUAAUGAUUAAUCCCAUGACCUACGGGUCAAUGACAAUAGUACAUAUAGGACAGGGAAUUAUGUCCAAUUAAUUGGAUGGAAGGAGUCAAGAAAUUCCAUUCGUCGAUGCAGAAGUGCUUUGAUCCGUUGACCUAUAGUUCAAUAAUAACAAUAAUUUUAUUCAAAAAAAAAUUAUGUCGAAUUAACUGGGAACAUAAUAGAUUUAUUGACGCCAAAUUUGUUUUAGUCGUGGUUUAAAUUUACAUUGAAAACAUUCAUUCAGGGCAUUAUUAUCUUGAUAUGUUGUUGUACAUGGUUUGUUUAUUUAAUACAAUAUGCGAACUAGUUGGAUCCGCAAUUAAUUAAGUGUUUAUUCAAUUAUCGGUCAGCAUUUCAAACGACACACGCUCGGUAGUAACUUUUUAUCACACUUCACUAUUCUUUCGGAAGCGACCGGUGUUAUGUUCCACGGAAAGCAUUCUCUCCGACCAUCCCAAUUCCCUAUUCCAAGGGUAAAAGGUAAAUAUAGUACUCCCUCCGUCCCACCUUGAUAGUUCUGUAUUUCUUUUUCAUCUGUCCCAAAUUAUAGUCCACUUUCCAAUUGACGAAUAUAGUUGUAUUUUAAUUUUUCUAAAAUACCCUUAUUCAAUGUAAGUAGUUGUUACUAUAAACCUAUCCCAUUUAAUGAGAGUUGAUUCUUUUGUACCAUCCAUUCAAGUUCCCAUAAAAUUGUACCAUAUUUAAUAUGAGGGUAUUUUAGGAAAAUAGCAAUCUAAAUUUACAUUUCCAACAAAAUUAACUACUUUUUCUUAAACUGUGUGAAAAAAUAAACAGGACUAUCAAAGUGGGACGGAGGGAGUAGUAAUAUAUGUAUAUAUAUAAUUACAAGUAAAAGUAAAAAGAAUGGUAGCGGUGCCAAGAAAGCACGCAAUUAAUUGAAAUUACACUCUUUUAAAUGCCUAAAAGUAGACGAAAAGUGCCUUUUCCUAGACAAGAUUACAAGCUUUUAAAGGGUUGAUGAUUGAUGAUGCAUCAAUAUUUAGUUUAGUAACUAUCAUUACAUUUAGAUAGUAUGAUUGACAAAUUAUCAUUCGAUCAUCACAACAAUCGAGUAGUAGCUAUUAUUAGUUACUAGUAAUAUUCAUCUUGGAAAUGCUAUCAAGAAACAUAUAUACUAUGUCAAAAUCCUGACGUAAUUCAUUUGAAUCGAGACAUGAAAAUGAAAUAAGUUCUCUAUUCUAUUGCUGCGAAUCCAGAAGUUUGAUGCCGCGCCUGUUAGACUCACGCGGUCGUUUAUUAGGCAAGAUUAGUUGACACGGUAGACUAAAGUUUUGAUUCUUCUGCCCUUCGACAAAUUGCCACAUUAUUUUCAGGGACCCUCCUCUGCUUUGUUGAAGAGGGGAGACCUCCAUCCUGAAAAUGAUAGUCUAAGGCAUUAUUAAUGCACAACAACAACCUUGCCAAAAUAAAUAAAUGAAAAAGUACCAUUUUGGAUUUUUAUUUUUUCAAAAAAAUUUUACCUUUUUUCUAUGAACAUAUGUUUUAUUCAUAUUUUUACCUUGCGUACAUCAAAUUGGUGCAAUACAUUUUUUUUUAUAUAAAAACUCCAGAAAAUAGCAAUUCAACUGGAUUCAACGGAAGAAACAAACAAGAAAUUGUCGGUACUCGCACAUAAUUAGCUAUUUUUGUAAAUUCCCAAAUAAAUUUUUAUUAAAAUUCUAUGAGAGCCAAAAAAAAAAAAAAACAACAUUUGUAUAGUCAAGAGUCAACCCGAGCAUCCAUAGUUUUAGUAUGGCGUUGUGGGAGUGACCCCGGCUUCAGCAAGUCAAGUUUAAAACUAGACUUAGCUGGUCUUCCUCAUGCAUGUGCCUGUAGUACUACGCUUCCUUUACUCUGCUUCUCAAUUCAUCAAAGCUGUUCUUCUUUGACUACUCUGCAUUUCACACUAUCAAAUAAUCAAAUCAAACAUCAGUAAUAAAUGAUUUCACUAAACGGACGACAAAAUAAAGACCCAAUCGAAAAAUGCCAGAACUUUCACCCCCUCGCUAGCUUGUGACGACGCUUAAUAAAAAAAUUCAUUUUCAUGGCUGGCACUCCCAUUUCUUCCUACCUUCACAAAAGGGUGAACAACAGUCUCCUAAUGCUGACAUCUCGAAACAAAUAAUGGAUACCAACAGGAGAACUAGCAGAAAUUGAAGAUACAUAUCUAUAAAUAACGAUUAACAGCUCAGAUAAUAACAUCUACUGAAAAUAACACGUCCAAAAGCUAGGUGGGUACCUUUUAGCCUCAGCCAGAUAGAUACUCUGAUGGAUGAUCCAUUUCUACCUCGAAAUCAUGACACAGAACCAUCAUAAUGGCCUUCUACUUCUGAGUAUCAAAUAUCACUCUCGUGAGUAUCAAAUAUCACUCUUUUGAUAAUGGGCUUUAUCAACCAAUUUCAGUGCAGAAUAAAACAAAACAGAGACAGUAAAGCGGAAGGCAUCCAUCAACUCCUAAUCCACAUUGAGUUCAUGGCUAAUUGGCCACAGACUUGUACUUUUACAGCCCAGUGAUCACUCCACCACCAGUAGCUUGCACGCUUAUGCUAGAGCACUGUACAAUAAUAUCCCAAACAGUUUCGUCCCAUGUCUUAGAAUUGGCCAGCCAGGGCGGUGAAAGCAUAUCGAUCGUCAUCCAGAAAUGGUACUUGGAAAUAAAAUUAAGAACAAGUCUCGCAUAAAUUACAAGGAAAAGGAGAAAGAUACUCAUUAUUGGCGCAAUAAAAGACGCUUGCUAAUUAUAGAGAAACAGAGAAGUAACAAGAAGCUGCUAUACUACAGUCUCUGUGCAUCCGAAACCAUGGUCACUAGAAUAUUCAUAAGGAAAAUAAACUCAGACCAUAUUUUUCAUCCAACAUCUUUUCUACUGCUCGUGAAAAUAGAUCAGUGAAAACUUCUCAACUCACACUUGCACAUCUGUAACUUUUCCUAACGUCUUUCUUCGCUCUCCGUUUUCAGCUAAUUUCUGUUCCAUAAGAAACUUCUGCCGCUGCUCAAUAAUACCGUCGAUCAUCCGAUUGAAAUCUUCGUCGCUCAUAUUGUCCACCGUGUCAAAUGACGUCGCCUUUGGCCUUUCGGUCCUUCCUCGACCGACCUGAACCGUCUCCGACCGUCGGAGCUCUCCCUGCGGCUUCACCGCGAUCUCUCUCUUCGGCUUCUCCGACUGCAUCCUCUGAAACUUCUCAAUCCGUUUUGCCGCCGUCUCUAUGGCCGUCGUCACAGCGUCGCAUUGCUCCGCCUUCUCCUCCGUCCACAAUAUGAUCUGCUUCUCCUCCGCUUCGCCUCCAUCGCCGCCUCCUGCGCCUGCAAUCACGUCCAUAGUCUCCGGCGUAGCAGGAAUUUCUGGCGGAGGAAUGUUAACGCCUCCCGAGCCUGCAACUUUUUGCUGUGGAGCAUGAGCCUGGCUGUGACGGGCAUAUUCGUCGUAGAGAUCAUCGUCGCCGGAGUUCUCGCUACCGGCGCCGGUUCUUCGACAGAGGAAAAAGAGCGCGACGAUGAUGACGUUGCCGAUGAGAAAAACGACAUGCGGAUUAAACAGAUAGUCUGCAACUUCGAACAAAAUCCUCCCGGAGAUUUUCAGCGCUCCGGGAAGACGGGUGGAGGACCAGGAAAUCAACAGGAGCGCCACCAAAACUUCCAGAAACUGAAAAAGUUUCAUAGUCCUCCGGAAACGGUUAUACCUGGCCAUCGCCUUCGCCUUCUCAAAUUUCACGUUGUCGAACACUUGCUCUUGAGAAUCCAUUUUUAAAUCCUCCUCCAAACACGCUGAUUAAAUCUCGAGUGAGUGCGGGAAAUGAAGAGAGUUACUCGGUAAAUGGCAGUAGAAGUUGGAAAGAGUCGAGACUAUUUGUGAGGGGGCGGUGGAUUUAAGAAAGGAAGGAGAGAAUUUGGAAAAGAGAAAUGAUCAGCGGGAGUUAAUUUGGAAAAGGGGAGAAGGGAGAAAGGAAAAGGGAAGAGAGUAGAAGCAAUAUAUGCAGAAGUGCAUAUAACUAUAGAAACAGAUACUAUCAUAUGCAUAGAAACACAGAGGAGAGGAAAACACACACACUCACACGCGCGCGCACACUAGGAGAAAGAGGGAUAGGCAAUUUGUUGGUGUAAAUGAGAGGGUAUGGUAGGUUUUGGAUGCUCGAAUGAAUUUUGUGUUUGGUUAUGGAGGAAAUGCUCUGAUGAUGGAAGGAAAGUUUACAGAGCAAGGCAUGGUUUUAUAGGCGCGGAGCAGGGAAGAGAAUCGUCGGGGUCCAUGGGGUAAGUGGAGCCAAGAGAAACUUGUUUUUUGUAUUUCUUUUUCUUAUUAUUUUUUUCUCUUAUGGUUGUUUUUGAAUAGGUCUACACUUGCUACUAUUAUGGUUUAUGACUUUCUCGCUCUUUCUUUUCUUCUCUCAUGCUAUGAUUUACGAAUUGUGACUCCUUUCCAUUUUCUUCACAUAUGAUAUGAUAUGGUUGUCAUCUUGGCUCUUUUUUAGAGCAACAAGGAGGCUUGGCUUACAAUUCACUAGUUACUUUUCCGGGACAUGAACAAUAAUCGUAUGCUACUAAUCAUUUCUAAUUACACGGGACGAUGAAGAGGGUCAAUUAACAAUUAUAUGCACGAGUGUGUUUGGACAGUGAAUUAUUUAAUACUUUUUACGAUAUGAUACACAUAUUUGCCCGUAAUCCUGUUUUUUCAUGCGGAUAAAAGCUUUAUAUUUACUCAUUAUUGAUUGCUCGUGACCCUGUUUCAUGCGAAUAAAGUCUUAGGGCAUGUUUGGAUUGCAUUUUCCGUCAUUUUUCAUGGAAAAAUUACUGUAGCGAUUUGAUCUAUGUGAGAGAAAAAGGUGAUAGGGAAAUAUGAUCACGAAAAACGACAAUAUUUUCCGACGAAAACAAGCAAUCCAAACACACCCUUACAUUUACUCAUUAUUGGUGCAAAUCAAAACUUAGAACACCCUGCUAUGCUAUCGAGCAUUUUUUUUCUCUCCAAUUCAAUGAUUCAUUGUCACUUGAGCAAUGUUUUGAGAGAGGCUGAUGUUUCUAUUUGAAAAGUUCUUUAGUUAGGGAACGAAUUAGAGAGAAAAAGUUUUUUUUUUUUUUUUUAAAAAAAAAGGGAAAAAGGACGGUGGUGGUUUUUGCUAAUAAAACAGGGUGGUUGUGCGGUGGGAGGAAGUGUGAAGUGACAUUUUUUUUGUUUGUAACAUAACCGCGUGUGAGCCAAACCGGGGCAGAGUGUAAAGCCGCGAGACCAAGACCACGCCCACGCGUGGAAUAGUAGUCUAGUACCGUACCUAAGUUAGUUUUUGGGUACAGCUUUGCUUUGUCAGUUUGUCCAAGGACGGGAUGUUCUUCCUACAACCUCUAGGCUUUUUCGCUUUUAAAUUAUGCUGUUGGGUUUGUUAUGUUUCUCAGAGCUCAGAAACCGGGAAAAGAAUCAGGACAAAGAUUAUUUAGAUUUUUCUUCUUUUGCCUUUUGGGGAAAUUUUUCUUCCUUCUUUCCACAUUUGGUGCUUGAAUUACUAAAUUCUUAUGCCCCUAGUGUACAGUAAUCAGUAUUGGUUGUCUGGCCUGGCGUGCAAUAAUGGGUUUGAAGAUGUUGAUGAACAGAGGACUUGGUAUGCGGUGCGAUGCUUGUAUACCUACUACUGUAAUCUUGUGAGUCCCAUGCAAUGCCCAAAAACCAACAGUGCGUGAUCCCGAGCCACUACAACUACAAGAGAGGAUGCUUGUGCUGAGAACAACAACGAUGCAUCGGAUGAUAAAGCUGAAUUCUGAAAUCUGAAUUCAUUAAAGUAUUGAAUUAUUAAAUAUUAAAUUAAAUACAUAUGAGUGUAUCAAUUUUUUGAUAUCAAAUGCGUCUGAAUAUAUUAAAAUCUGAAUUCAUUAAUUUUAAGUGCUAAAUUGAGUUAUCAAACAGGAUUUAAAUUCUUCUCUUUAGUGUAAAAGAAAAAAAGAAGAUAAAGAAAAGUAGCGGAGUAGGAAAAGAUUGAAGUCAGGUUCAAAAAUCUCGUUACCUAUUGUGAUAGGUUCCUGUAAUUGGACAUGACAUAGACUCUCUAUCUUAGCAUAUAGUAGAAUUGAUCUAUGAAUAAUGGAUAUCACGGCUUGAGAUUAUGAUUAGGUGCAAAUUUUUUUUGUUGCCUUAAAAGACGUGCACAAUUAUAUGGUAUUCAACUUUGAGGGAUUGAAUUACUAGCUAGUAGUAGUAGUAGAAGUGGUUGGUGACUGAGCGAAACUUUCCUUGAAGGCACGGUCAUGUUCCAAUGAGCCUUCCAUCUUCAUAUGCUUGCCAGUUGCCAUCAGUAGUGUUUCUUUUUUUUCCGGACACUGAAAUAAACGCACACACAUAAUUAAUUAGAUUAAGCACGAGAGUCAAUCUAAGGGGAUCCACAGAGCAACCCGAUCCAGCCAAUUGGUGACAAGACGGACACCCCAUGAACCUUAAAUCCAAGAUGAAAACCCCACGAUCUUUCGAUGUGGGAUAGAAGCCCAAUCCCCCGUGCACACCCUCACCAAAUAUGGAAUUGUUUUUUCCGGACACUGAAAUAAACACACACUUAAUUAAACUAAGCACGAGAGUUAACAGAUAAAUCGACCCAAUAAACAAUCAGUCUAAAGGGGACCCAGCCAUCAGUAGUGUUUCGUACAAGUACGAAUUGAGUACUACUUCUACUACUACUAUUUUGCAUUUUCUGAAUUUCUACAUCUACUGCUACUACUUGUUUACUUAGCAACCAGAAACAAAUCUGCGACCAAUUCCUGUGGGAUGGUAGAGCUCACCAGCCAUCAAAAACCUGUCCAGCAACCAAAAAACAUUAGAUGCCAAAAAAUGCAGCAGGCAGGCUGGCUGAUUUGACCUGUCUAAGACCGAGAGGAGGGUCUGUAAUGGUUGAAAAAUUUUAAGUAAGUUAAAAUCGAUUGUUUCUUCACGUCCCACUGUCGACUCGACGGUGCCCAGCACCUCACCCUCCCCGACGGGGGCCGCCAGUCCACUUCCUUCCUCCUACCCUCUCAGCUAUUUCAAUCAUCAUGGCCAAAAAGACAAUAAUAUCAUUAGAAGCUCAUUGGCUAAUAAUCUGAUACCCUCUCAGCUAUUUCAAUCAUCAUAGCCACUUCCUUCCUUCCCCCUUUUUUUCACAUAUAUAUAUAUAUAUAUAUAUAUAUAUAUAUAUAUUUUUUACAGGGAGCGAAAAAUGUAGCUGAACGAAAUGUGGUAGAAUAUAUAUAUAUGUUUAGCAAACUCUUUAACUGCCAUACAAUUAAUUAUACACUCAAGUAAAAGAAUAUUUGUAAAGAAUUGGGGUCACAUUAAUUAAACAUAUCCGUUUAAGGAAAAUUAUAUAUAGUACUAAAAUCUCGGGUUUCUUGUCCGCUUUUUCUUCUUUCUUCCGCCAUUCAAAAUCAUUGCGGUGAAUAUGCUUUUGAAGCCAAAGAGAAAAAGUGAAACUUCACAAAUAAAAGGAGCAGUGAAACAAAAGAAAAGAUCACUCCGAUACAAAUUCUGGUCAUUGACGUGAAGAUGAAGAGUCCAAUUAUGUGUUGCAUCAUGCAUGGGAAAUUUAGGUGAAAAGAAAGCUAAAAGUAGCCUAACACUAAUGUACUUUGAGACCUUUCCUACAAGACAAGACAAGACAAAACAAACCCAUGAACUCGUGUGGAUCUGGAUCUUUGUUUGAAUUGUAAGUUUUUUGAGAUUAUUUGAAAGAUUUUUACUGUAGCACUUUUUGUGAUGUGAUGUAUGUGAGAUAAAAAGAUAAUUAAAAAGAUAAAAAGAUGUAUUAAAAAUUGUAAUGAUGAUGUAAGCAAAUAAAACUGGAUAAAUAAUGCACAAUCCAAACGACCUAAGGCCGACCAUGAUUUGAGAUCAUCGCACAUUCACUUCAAGUUGCAUUUGCCCUGAAAUUUGAAUACCCCCUUCAGCUUCAUGUCACGCGUUACCUAUCAUCCCUACCCGUUGCUACCUCCACCUUUCUCCAAUUCCCAUUCAUGACGUACAUGACCCAAAGAAGAAAAGAAUCAUUAUCUGGUCUGACAUGGAUUCUGGCAUUCAUUUUUUCCUUUUUUAACUUGGCCUUGCCCACUUCGCGUAGACAGCAUAACAAGAUUUAUUACUGAUUAACCUGUAAAGAUUCCAGCCUCCCUUGCAAGAAUUGGACAAAAAAAAAAAAAAUGGAAAAAAUUGGAUUGGGUGACGAGAUGAGAACGAUGGCAAGUGAAAAAUCAUAAAUUUAAGAUCUCGAACGACGAAAAUACUAUGUAUGUGACCGAACUUAGAGGCUAAUGAUUUACAUCAAGUAACAUACUUUCUUCUUCACGUGUAUGUGUCGAACUAAUUUACGAAGACCCCCCCUCUCCCCCUCCCCCCCCCAAAUAAAAAACAAACAAAAGAAAAAAAAACAACAAAAGGAAAAAAAAAAAACAACUGGAGAAGCUUUGAUGAGUCAAAACUUGACAAGUGCCUAUUCCAAAUUGUUCAUGGCCAAUAUCUAAUUUCUACGGAGGAAAAUGAUUGGAGGCACCCGUCAAACACGUCAUUUCUAUUGCAUGUCUUCAUGAAUUUAAAGAAAACCUCUUGUCACGAUUCCUAGUGCUCUUUUGCGUUCAUUCACGAGCUAUAUAUAUAUAUAUAUAUAUACCCUUUUUGGAUUAAUCAAAAUUACUUUUGUUUUAUCCAGCUACAUAGUUCUUUUUUCCCCCCGGUAAGACUUAUUGCCAUUUUCCGAUGAUAUUGAUUUUAUGUACAUUGGUACUGCUAUAAUAUAGUCAAUUUUUGUGUUUAUACAAAAGAAUCCUACAUUAAUCUUUUAGGGUUCUAUGGAAUAUCGUUUAAUGUGAUUUUAAACCUAAAGGUCUGUAUUCUCUUUUGCAUGCAAGAAUUGUUUUUUUGAUAAAAAAAAAAGAAGUCAAUAUUAUUAAUAAACUACAUGAAAAUCGUCCAACAUGAUUUUCUUAACAAAGUAAUCUAUAUUAAUGGCAGAAAAUAUAUUGACUAUGUCACAGACAUAUUUGAUCUGAAAAAUCAUUAGAAUUAAUAGAGUUACACAAUAUAAAAGAUUAUACUGUAAAUUACAAAUCAUCAAAUCUGACUAAUUGAACGAGUUGCUCCAUAGAUAUUUGUGCAUAUCUAUUCUCUCAGAUCUGCUAUCCAACUGAUUUAAGUUCAAAACUGACGUUGACAUCUGACGAGAAGACCAAAAAAUUCUAAAUCUAACAUAUAGAUCUAAAAAAACUCUUAGAUCUGAGAAAAAAUAACAAAAACUAAACAAAACUCUCACUAGGAUAACGUAGAAGAGAAGAAAACUCUCACUAAAAUACAUUAGGAGGGACUUUAUUAAAUAAAAAGCAAGAAUAAUAGGAUACGAAGGGAAACCUAAGUUUAAGGCCAACAUCUUGAUUUAAGGCCAAUGUCUCCCUCCCAUGGAAGAAGAACAGUAGAGAAAAGGUUGAGGGUAAAGAGGAAUGUAUGACAAGAAUUGUUUUAAUUGGCUGCCAUGUAUAUGUUUAUACGUAAAUUCAUUCUUGUUCAUUCAGGCAUGGAAAUGCAGGGGAUAGCUUUUACAAGCCCAAUUGGCAAUUUUCUUUGAUCACUGAAAAAGUAGAGAGACCAAUACCUAUAAAGAAACAAUGAAGCUAGCUAGAAUUAUAAGAGUUGGUUUUACUUUUCUUUUUCAUUCCGGGGAAAUCUGUGCUUGGUCUUUUCAUGGCAUAUAGGUCUUGCAGAAUUUAAUUUAACACAUUGCAUGUAUUGUAGCAUCCCAAACAGUUCAAUUCUGCAAUUCAUCCAAUGGUGACAUUAUCCGUUUAGAUUGCCCCCAAAAAAAAAGUCACUAAUUCUCAUCAAGAAUUGAGGAGACGUGGCACCACAAAAGAUUAUCGUUCUUCUCCUCAUGUCAUUAUAUUUGACUUACGUGUUUAAGGAAAAGAAAAAGAGAAUUUUAUCCAACUGGAAAAGAAAAAAUGAAAAGGUACUUCUGGAUGAGCGUUGCUGUGGAACCAUUAAUUAGCUUCUCCAAAUCCGUAGUUAAAAGCCUUUACAAAAGAUUAAGUAGAGCAGGAGUCAAGGCUUUCGGCUGUAAUGAUGAAACAGUGAUUGAAAUUAGGUAAAGGCGAUUUAAUUUAUCUGCCGAAGCUACGGAUUUGCUUGGAAAGAAUAACCCAAUAUAAAGGGGUCCCAUCCCAUCCAAUAAGAGGAUCAUAAUUCAUGACAAUAUAUCUCUGGGGUUUAUUUGAAGAAGGACAGUUUGAAGCAUGAUACCCAUCCAAGGCAAUCAUGAACCUUUCCAAGCCACCAUUUCUAAUCCCUUUUAGGGUUAAUCAUGCUUCUUUGAAUCAUUUUGCUUCCCACUGAACUGAUAUCAAGCGUUGUGGGUUACCCACUACAUAACCCUGCUCAUCCUUUGCUCUUAUUAAAUCAAUCACCAGUGUGCAAUAGAAGCAGAAAGUGAUAGCUAUAUAUGCAUGUCCUAAAAAAAAGGUAGUGUCAAUCACGAAUUGAAUCUCAAUUUAACCACUUUCCGUUACUUUUUGCCCAAGUUUUGUACAGGCAUGCCACUAGUCCUAGUUUAUUGAGGCAAGAAAUGUCACCAGUCCCAGUUUAUUGAGGCAAGAAAUUGCUAAUAAGGAAAGAUCUUUUUUAUCCUUAUUUUUCUGUGAAGAGGCUGAUAAGGGCAAUUAUUAUGGAUUUGGUUAACAAACAGAGAAUUAAUAUGUUUGUAGGGUUCUCUUUUGGUCGUUAAAUUAAACAUCUGAGUGGCUCCUUCCAAAAAAAAAAAAAAAACAUCUGAGUUUAGCAAGUGCUGACUGGAGAUGGAUAAAAUGCUCUUAUUGAUUCAGAACAUUUUUAACGAUGAAAAUUGUGGUGGCUAAGGCUUCCUUUCUUUGGUAGUAGUGGUUGAAUUGAAUUGAAUGGAAGGAACAGCUUUACCCCAAAAUUGCGGUGGCCUCAUAGUCAAUUCACUGCCAUGAAAAUCUACAGCACUAUCCAUGGUUCACAUCACCCAUUCGGUGCAUACAAUAAUGCAAGAAACUUUAGCGAAUGGAAUGAAAUUACCUCAAAUUUUGGACGAAAGUAACAUCAUCCAAAUUGCCUCUAGAAUAUAUAUACUAACUAUAAGAGAUGGACAGAUGUUUGCGUACUUAGUAGUACUGAAGGAGAUCGAGGGCCUCUCGCUUGACAGCUCAACAGGCAAAGUUUAACGCAGUUGGGAAAAAGCAACACCUUGGGUUAUCGGUUGGAGAUUUAACUGUCGGAUUGAUGCAACACAUACAACCAGCAAUAAACUAUAUAUUAAUCUGGUGCCAGCUUUUGACUUCUUUCUUCUUCUUUUUUUUUUACCUGCUCUGCUCUGAUCAAUAAGUUGCAUUUUUUUUUUUUUUUUUUUUGGUAAGAGGGCUGCCAAUGAAUUCUAGCAGCAAUUAGACACUUUUGCACGCAUGGAACCCAUUCUGGUCUAACUUUCUUCUUCAGCGAAUUGUAAAGUUUAACAUGAAAGAUGAAGAAAGAAAAGUCGGUGACCCAUCCAUCAUAUAAUUAAUACUCGAGUUAAGUUAAAGCAUAAGCAUCAUUCAUUUUCCACGGCAACUUUUAGAGAGAACACGUAAUUAAUUAACGUACGAGUUCAGAUGUUGCUUUGAUUUCACAGCAAUUUUUCCAGUAGUAAUGAUUUACAAUGCAUUUCUUCCAGUGAUUCGCGAGCAGUGAUACUACAAAAAUAAAUAUUUUCUCGAAAUUGUUUCAGCACCUUUAAUUAUGAAUUCUUAGAGAGUAAGAAACCACAGUAUCUGUAUGUCACAUUAUACCCAUGCCAAUAUUCUCUCCUUUUUUCGUUUGACGUGAAAGGCAGGCUACCAAGGCAGCAAUAAUAAAUAUUCCAUCCCACCGGAAGGUAAUAAUGCAGGACCAAACUUGUUCCUCAAAGCGCCACGAUCCCUAGCAGCCUGCACAAAACUCUUUUUGAUUUGAUGUUUUAGAUUCCCCCUUCGGUCCCAAUCAAAUCAAAUGAACCUCUUUUUGUUACGCUUCCUCUUUACAAAUUACGACGGCCCAAAAAUCAAACUUACUUUAACGUGGAAAGCAGGUGCGGGCAUGACUUUGGAUAAAUGGUUGCCAGAAAAGGCCAAAAAACGAGAACCAACCCGUUCAAUACGGCAGUCCGAAGCCGAUUAUGCCUGGAGAACCAUUACUGUUAAACAACGCUAUGCUAUGGUAUGCUAGUGGCAAGUUUUAAGGGAAAACUGCUUAACAAACCAUCAUAGCUGCUGCGCGCGUGGGAAAUUUAACGUCUUUAAUUCUUGGCAGGCGGCUAUAAUAUAAGGAGGGUAAUCACGAGAUGGCAAACGUAGUGGUACCAGACAAUCCGACUUCAAGAGGAUAAACAAAAAUGGCAGGGACGAGAGGAAGAAACCUCGAGCUAUGGAGUAAGCAUAAAGAGUCUUUUGAUUCAGCAGACCCAUGAAUUUUUCCUCGCUAUCGGUUCAUGGAACUGCGCUAUGACAUUGACGCUUCCCGUUUUGGUAAAUUUACUUGAACGCUACAGCUGAUUGUACUAAUCCAAGAUUUAUGAAGCUCAUCCACUAGCUUUGAGGCACAGGAUGUCAGUAACCAGUCGAAAAGAAUACAAAUGACCAUGGAACUCAAGAAUUCCAAAU
RNAcentral lists this long non-coding RNA (18085 nucleotides) under Coffea arabica (coffee). RNAcentral describes it as "long non-coding RNA (CARA_LNC006685)". Lineage: Eukaryota; Viridiplantae; Streptophyta; Magnoliopsida; Gentianales; Rubiaceae. The record is from RNAcentral.